Molecule: non-coding RNA, 25 nt
Filed under: Gallus gallus (chicken)
Lineage: Eukaryota; Metazoa; Chordata; Aves; Galliformes; Phasianidae
Also listed under: 4 other names
Source: RNAcentral
UCAGUGGUAGAAUUCUCGCCUGCCA